Molecule: ribosomal RNA, 525 nt
Filed under: Diptera sp. BAH_28365_B12
Lineage: Eukaryota; Metazoa; Arthropoda; Insecta; Diptera
Also listed under: 1 other name
Description: partial 16S ribosomal RNA
Rfam family: Bacterial large subunit ribosomal RNA
Source: RNAcentral
GUCCUUUAGAAUUUAAUUUAAGGUCUGACCUGCCCACUGAUGUUUUAAAUGGCCGCAGUAUUUUAACUGUGCAAAGGUAGCAUAAUCAUUAGUCUUUUAAUUGGAGGCUUGUAUGAAUGGUUGGACGAAAUAUUAGCUGUUUCAUAUUAAAUUGAAUUAGAAUUUUAUUUUUUAGUUAAAAAGCUAAAAUGGUUUUAAAAGACGAGAAGACCCUAUAGAUCUUUAUAUUUUAUGUAUUAUAGUUAUUUAGAUUAUUUGAAUUAUGAUUAUAUAAAAUAUUUUAUUGGGGUGAUAUUAAAAUUUAAUUAACUUUUAAUUAGUAUUUACAUUAAUUUAUGAAUAAAUGAUCCAUUAAUAGUGAUUAAAAAAUUAAGUUACCUUAGGGAUAACAGCGUAAUUUUUUUGAAGAGUUCAUAUCGAUAAAAAAGAUUGCGACCUCGAUGUUGGAUUAAGAUAUAAUUUUGGGUGCAGCAAUUCAAUUAUUAAGUCUGUUCGACUUUUAAUUUCUUACGUGAUCUGAGUUCA